AGGCAUUCAGGCAGCGAGAGCAGAGCAGCGUAGAGCAGCACAGCUGAGCUCGUGAGGCAGGAGACUCAGCCCGAGGAAAUCGCAGAUAAGUUUUUAAUUAAAAAGAUUGAGCAGUAAAAAGAAUUAGAACUCUAAACUUAAGCUAAUAGAGUAGCUUAUCGAAAUAUUACUUAGUCUUAAUAAUCUAAGAAGAUCUUAAGAGAUAACAUGAAGGCUUAUUUAAACAGUUUGAAAAAGGAAAUGAGGAGAAAAGUAUUUGUACUGUAUAAUGGAGGCUGACCAGAGCAGUUUAGGAGAUUGUAAAGGGAGGUUUUGUGAAGUUCUAAAAGGUUCUAGUUUGAAGGUCGGCCUUGUAGAUUAAAACGAAGGUUACCUAAAUAGAAUCUAAGUGGCAUUUAAAACAGUAAAGUUGUAGAGAAUAGUUUGAAAAUGAGGUGUAGUUUUAAAAGAUUGAGAAAAGUAGGUUAAGUUGACGGCCGUUAUAAAAAUCCUUCGACUGGCGCAUGUACGUUUGAAGGCAUGAGUUGGAAACAGGGAAGAUGGAAGUGUUAGGCUAGCCGGGCGAUGGUGGCGCACGCCUUUAAUCCUAGCACUUGGGAGGCAGAGGCAGGCGGAUUUCUGAGUUCGAGGCCAGCCUGGUCUACAGAGUGAGUUCCAGGACAGCCAGGGCUACACAGAGAAACCCUGUCUUGAAAAAACAAAAAGGUUAGGCUAGUAUUUGGAGAAAGAAGAUUAGAAAAUGGAAGUGAAAGACGAAGAAGACAUACAGGAAGGUGAAGAAAAAGCUGUUAGAGAAGAUAGGAAAAUAGAAGACAAAGCAUCUUUAGAAGACAGAAAAGGUACUUAAAGGCACAGGUAGUAGGAAGCCGAAGAAUAGAAGAUAGAAAGAAGCAAGAUAGAAAAACAAAAUGGAAGUUAAGACAACUUUGGAUGCCAGCAUUCAAGAUAGGCAAAGAAGAUAAGAUUGAGGCCAAAAGGUUGGAUAAGAUAUAAAGUCAGAAGGAAAUUAUCUUUAAAGCCAUAAGUUCAAAUUUCUGAUGGAGCGAGCAGUUUAGAAGAGUCUUUAGACAGCCACAUACAAGAUUGAAGCUAGCAAUCAAAGCUACUAGGACUGAAGUAAAAAGUUAAGGCAGAAUGCCUUUGAAGAGUUAGAAGAAUAUUAAAAGCCUUAACUUGUAGCUUAAUUUUGCUUGAUGACAAAAGGACUUUUGAUAACAGUUUCAAGAUUGUCAGCAUUUUGCAUUGGACUUGAGCUGAGGUGACUUAAUGUAUCUUAAUAACUACUAUAGGAACAAAGGAAGUGGCUUUAAUGACCCUGAAGGAAUUUCUUCUGGUGAUAGCUUUUAUAUUAUCAAGUAAGAGAUACUAUCUCAGUUUUGUAUAAGCAAGUCUUUUUCCUAGUGUAGGAGAAAUGAUUUUCCUUGUGACUAAACAAGAUGUAAAGACCUUUUUCAGAUAACACCAUCUGAGUCAUAACCAGCCUGGCAGUGUGAUGACGUAGAUGCAGAGGGAGCAGCUCCUUGGUUUCUCUUCAUAAGCAGAAGAGUUGCUUCAUUCCAUCUCGGAGCAGGAAACAGCAGACUGCUGUUGACAGAUAAGUGUAACUUGGAUCUGCAGUAUUGCAUGUUAGGGAUAGAUAAGUGCCUUUUUUCUCUUUUUCCAAAAAGACCUGUAGAGCUGUUGAAUGUUUGCAGCUGGCCCCUCUUAGGCAGUUCAGAAUUUUGAGUAGUUUUCCCAUCCAGCCUCUUAAAAAUUCCUAAGCCUUGCACCGAUGGGCUUUCAUGAUGGGAUAGCUAAUAGGCUUUUGCAUCGUAAACUUCAACACAAAAGCCUACAUGAUUAAUGCCUACUUUAAUUACAUUGCUUACAAGAUUAAGGAAUCUUUAUCUUGAAGACCCCAUGAAAGGGAUCAUUAUGUGCUGAAAAUUAGAUGUUCAUAUUGCUAAAAUUUAAAUGUGCUCCAAUGUACUUGUGCUUAAAAUCAUUAAAUUAUACAAA
Molecule: long non-coding RNA, 1998 nt
Filed under: Mus musculus (house mouse)
Lineage: Eukaryota; Metazoa; Chordata; Mammalia; Rodentia; Muridae
Description: metastasis associated lung adenocarcinoma transcript 1 (non-coding RNA)
Source: RNAcentral